GCCUGGCAGCAGCUCGGGCCUGCUGAAGAAUGAAGACGCAACAACAGGGGGAGGGAGAUUGGAAUGCUUCAGGAUCCUGAAAUAUGAUGUUAAACCUGAGCAUUUAUCCAAACAAGGUUAAGGUCCUGAAAAGUUCUCAGUUACAUGGAAGUGGUUAUUUCCAGUCCUUUGUGGUUAUCAUUGGUGUUUCCUGGUUCAGAGCACCUCCAUGACGGCACCCAACAGUCUCGGAGCCAAGGUGAUAAGAGCAGGGAUGGACUCAUUAGCAUCAGCCAUGUGAAGAUGAUUGGAAAGUCUACUGGAGUAAUCCUUCUUCAUGGUAUACGGUACUAAUAUUUAGCCUAAAAGCUUUGGAUAUAUUUAAGAAAAAAUAUAUGGUGUUUUAUUAUGCAUAAAGCCAUUAAUGUUGUGAUUUUUGAAUAUGUGGGUUGUAAAUAGAUAUUCUGGUAUCUUGUUUC
Triticum aestivum (bread wheat) is the source of this 458-nucleotide long non-coding RNA. RefSeq lists it as uncharacterized. NCBI's taxonomy places the organism in Eukaryota, Viridiplantae, Streptophyta, Magnoliopsida, Poales, Poaceae. The transcript has 3 exons. The record is from RefSeq and is a predicted model, not a curated record.